GUCCCCAGAGAAGGAGACUCCACAGCCUCCCCGGGCAGCCUGCUGAAGUUGGCACCAAUGAGCAAACUCCUCCACAAAGCCCUUCCCGUAGUGGUAUAUUCUAACUUUCCUCCCAGCCAGACACACCUUUUCCGUCCAUCUCCAGCCCUGCCUCAUCCCUCUGGUAAGGGACUCCAGAAAGGGAGCUGGCAGCAGCCUCUGACACCGGAUCCCAACGCUCGAUCCGCAGUCGGCUAAACAGGAGCCUGAGAACCGAGACCCACCCCGAGCGCUCGGCGGGGCGAGCGCAGCCUCGCUGCCUUAGCUCAUCAGCUGUUGACUCCGGGAGAAGAGACCAGCCCCGACCUCACUACAGCCUCCUCUCAGGGAGCUGCAGAGAGCAGGGAGGGUGCAGAGGAAGAGUGAAAGCAGAAGUACGAAGGAGUCGACUGCCAUUCCGGGGCAGGCUCGACAGCUGUUUGCAGCGGCAUAAAGCACCCUGGGCACGGCUGAGUGAUGCUGCUGGAGUGCCCUCGGCAGUCAAAGCAUGUCCCAAAUAAACAUGUUAGCCAAA
Long non-coding RNA from Pogoniulus pusillus (Red-fronted tinkerbird), 553 nucleotides. RefSeq lists it as uncharacterized. The record is from RefSeq and is a predicted model, not a curated record. Lineage: Eukaryota; Metazoa; Chordata; Aves; Piciformes; Lybiidae. The transcript has 2 exons.